GGAAAAGACAAGAGAGGCUUUGGCUGGCUUGGGAUCCAGCAAACAGCUGCUGAUUAGAGGCUGCGUCUUCAGGCUGAAUUUAUUACAUAUUUUUCGGCAGCAGGGAUUCGAGGAGGAAGCUUCCGUUUGGGUUUCUUGCUCGUGGUUUAUUUUUAUUCCGAGGAAUAACAGAGGAAGGAUUUGUUCCGGCUGGAGCAUGCUCACAACCUGCAAGAUCUCCCAUUAUUAAACUGCCUACUUUGGGCUUUAAUAUACAUGUGGUUUAUUUUUUUGUUGGUUUUAUUAGCAUUAUUAUUAUUUGGCAGCGUGCGUCUCUAUUUUUUUUUUCAUUUAAUAAUUCAUUUUGAAAGGAAGCUGAUCUCGUCAUGAGCUUUCUCCUUCCUUACUCGAAACAGGUGCUAAUGAAAGAAUGCAAAUAGCACCGGCUGAGCCGAACAUUUCAUAAAGAAGGGAACAGCCACCGACCCCAAACGCUCCGGGAUCUCCUGCCAGCACCCAGCAAAGGCGCCCUUUCCCAGGUCACUGUAUGAGCACCUGAGUCUCCUCCAAGCAUCCCAGCGAUGAACCUGUAGCGGCUCGUCCCCAGCCCGGCAGAAGAUCCCCCUGGAGCCCAGGGUCCCAGCCUGGCAGAGCCAUGGGCGAGCGGCAGCAUCCCUGCGGGGGGCGAGUGCAGACCAUUUCUACAAUUUAUCAAGAUCAUUUUGAAUCCUAAUCCUGGCCUCCGAAGUACUUGCAGCCCUUCCCAGCCUGGUAUCAGCAGCAAUUUUAGUAAGCAUUCUAUGUUCCAUCAUUCAAAUCAAUUAUCACGAUACUGAAUUGUGCCAGAGCUUGGACGCCUUGGACGUCCACUCAAUCCGUGCUUCCCUUUGGCGGUGUGCGCAUCCUGCAGUGCUGCGUUCGCCUAGUGAAAGGUGUCAAAGGUGAUGUAAAUUCCGUGGGAUGAUGAGAUUUGUAUCCUAAAGGAAGAGAUUUCAUCAGCCCCUUUGAAGGUUUGUAAUGUGAAAUAAGUUUAUUUAC
Long non-coding RNA from Cuculus canorus (common cuckoo), 1017 nucleotides. RefSeq lists it as uncharacterized. The record is from RefSeq and is a predicted model, not a curated record. The transcript has 4 exons. Lineage: Eukaryota; Metazoa; Chordata; Aves; Cuculiformes; Cuculidae.